CCCACGGGUAGUUUACAUGA
This 20-nucleotide non-coding RNA is filed under the name Arabidopsis thaliana (thale cress). The record is from RNAcentral. Lineage: Eukaryota; Viridiplantae; Streptophyta; Magnoliopsida; Brassicales; Brassicaceae.